UACGAAGGGGACUAGCGUUGUUCGGAAUCACUGGGCGUAAAGAGCUCGUAGGCGGUUUCGUAAGUCGGAUGUGAAAACUCCAGGCUCAACUUGGAGACGCCAUUCGAUACUGCGAUGACUUGAGUCCGGUAGGGGAGUGUGGAAUUCCUGGUGUAGCGGUGAAAUGCGCAGAUAUCAGGAGGAACACCGGUGGCGAAGGCGGCUCUCUGGACCACAACUGACGCUGAGGCGCGAAAGCUAGGGGAGCAAACAGG
Molecule: ribosomal RNA, 254 nt
Filed under: uncultured bacterium
Lineage: Bacteria
Description: partial 16S ribosomal RNA
Rfam family: Bacterial small subunit ribosomal RNA
Source: RNAcentral